Molecule: ribosomal RNA, 448 nt
Filed under: uncultured bacterium
Lineage: Bacteria
Description: bacterial SSU rRNA
Rfam family: Bacterial small subunit ribosomal RNA
Source: RNAcentral
ACUCCUACGGGAGGCAGCAGUGGGGAAUAUUGGACAAUGGGCGAAAGCCUGAUCCAGCAAUGCCGCGUGAGUGAUGAAGGCCUUAGGGUUGUAAAGCUCUUUUACCCGGGAUGAUAAUGACAGUACCGGGAGAAUAAGCUCCGGCUAACUCCGUGCCAGCAGCCGCGGUAAUACGGAGGGUGCGAGCGUUAUCCGGAAUUACUGGGUUUAAAGGGUGCGUAGGCGGGCGAUUAAGUCAGAGGUGAAAGCUUUCAGCUUAACUGAGAAAUUGCCUUUGAUACUGAUUGUCUUGAAAUAUGUUGAGGUUAGCAGAAUGUGGCAUGUAGCGGUGAAAUGCAUAGAUAUGCCAUAGAAUACCAAUUGCGAAGGCAGCUAACUGGGCAUUAUUUGACGCUGAGGCACGAAAGCGUGGGGAGCGAACAGGAUUAGAUACCCUGGUAGGAUAGCG